Elgaria multicarinata webbii is the source of this 660-nucleotide long non-coding RNA. RefSeq lists it as uncharacterized. The record is from RefSeq and is a predicted model, not a curated record. NCBI's taxonomy places the organism in Eukaryota, Metazoa, Chordata, Lepidosauria, Squamata, Anguidae. The transcript has 2 exons.
CCAGGUCCGGGCCCGAUUCAAAGUGCUGGUAUUAACAUUUAAAGCCCUAAACGGUUUGGGGCCAGGGCUGAAGGAACGCCUCCUCCUGUAUGUACCUGCCCGGACCCUAAGGUCAUCUUCAGGGGUCCUUCUCCACGAGCCCCUGCCAAAGGAAGUGAGGCAGGUGGCUACCAGGAGCAGGGCCUUCUCUGCUGUGGCACCUUGGCUGUGGAAUGAGCUCCCUAAGGAGAACAUAAGAACAUCAGAAGAGCCCUGAGGCUGGAUCAGACCAGGGGUCCAUCUAGUCCAGCACUCUGUUCACACAGAGGCCAAACAGCUGUUGACCAGGGAUCCACAAACAGCACACGGUGCAACGGCAUUCUCCCACCCAUGUUCCCCAGCAACUGGUGUACUUAGGCUUGCUACUUCUUCUCUCUUGCACAUCUCCCAUUCAUUCAAAGGGGAUUGUGCAGGAAAACUUCCCACGGAUUUUAAUCUUAUGGAUCCUACAUGCUGCCCAGGACCCCAUCUGUAACUAAUAUUAGGGAUUGUCUUCGAAUUGCACCUAUAAUCCUUGCAUUCUCAAUCGGAUAUAUCAUUUUUUUACGCUUUGAAAUGGAAAAUUCAAAUAUAUUUGCGGAGCUAGAGACAUAGAAUAUAUUAAAGUUGUUCUAAUUGCUA